GACCUCAAAGUCCGCUUACAAUGGUCUUCGGACAUUUCAUCAAAUUUGACCUCAAAUCAGGUAGGACUACCCGCUGAACUUAAGCAUAUCAAUAAGCCGGAGGAAA
This 106-nucleotide ribosomal RNA is filed under the name uncultured Piloderma. RNAcentral describes it as "partial 28S ribsomal RNA". The stretch from base 47 to 106 matches the Rfam family "Eukaryotic large subunit ribosomal RNA", at positions 1 to 59 of the family's 3401-position model. Lineage: Eukaryota; Fungi; Basidiomycota; Agaricomycetes; Atheliales; Atheliaceae. The record is from RNAcentral.